This 1013-nucleotide ribosomal RNA is filed under the name Sphingobacterium multivorum. RNAcentral describes it as "bacterial SSU rRNA". The stretch from base 237 to 1013 matches the Rfam family "Bacterial small subunit ribosomal RNA", at positions 1 to 766 of the family's 1533-position model. The record is from RNAcentral. Lineage: Bacteria; Pseudomonadati; Bacteroidota; Sphingobacteriia; Sphingobacteriales; Sphingobacteriaceae.
GACGACAGUCAUGCAGCACGUAGUUUGUAGUGCAGAUGAUCGAUGGGUGUACGCAUACUCAGCCACUUCAGGCAGGAUGACGUUCCUCAGCGAUGAAAAAUUAUAUCCUCCAGGUAUAAGCUAGAGCGGGCUCCCUGUCAAGUACUUAGAGUAUCACCAAUGAUGGGCGUACUCCCCAGCUAGAUGACUCAGUAAUUCGGAGGGACGCUCGCUGUCCAUCGCUAACAUGGAGUAAUCAUCGUUAGGGGGCUAGACUACUCCGGGAUCAAAUCGAGUGCGAUCCCCACGCCUGAGCCUUCAGGUUCAAGGGCAUCCAUCCGAGAGAUUUUGCAAUAUGAGGAGAGUGGCGCAUGUAUGCAUAUCGCGUGAGCAACUUUCCUUUUUCGCAGGUAUAUCCUCUAGAAGGAGAUCUUAAUAAAGCACAAUAUCAUCGGUGUGCAACUGUAUUUGAUUCCAUAUUUAUUGGACCGCGAAGGGAUCGUGUGACAUCAGUUAGUCGGGAGAGCAAUGGCCUCCCAAGGAGACGAUGUUUAGCGGCUAUGGGAGGAGAAUCCCCCACAUUGGUAUUGACACACGGACCAGACUCCUACGCGAGGCAGCAGUAAGGAAUAUUGGUCAAUGGGAGGAAGCGGGAACCAGCCAUGCCGCGUGCAGGAUGACUGCCGUAUGGGUUGUAAACUCUUUUGUCCAGGAAUAAACCUAAAUACGUGUAUUUAGCUGAAUGUACUGGAAGAAUAAGGAUCGGCUAACUCCGUGCCAGCAGCCGCGGUAAUACGGAGGAUCCGAGCGUUAUCCGGAUUUAUUGGGUUUAAAGGGUGCCUAGGCGGCCUAAUAAGUCAGGGGUGAAAUACGGUGGCUCAACCAUCGCAGUGCCUUUGAUACUGAUGGGUUUGAAUCCAUUUGAAGUGGGCGGAAUAAGACAAGUAGCGGUGAAAUGCAUAGAUAUGUCUUAGAACUCCGAUUGCGAAGGCAGCUCACUAAGCUGGUAUGACGCUGAUCACGAAAGCUGUGGU